GGGUUGUGAGGUUAAGCGACUAAGCGUACACGGUGGAUGCCCUGGCAGUCAGAGGCGAUGAAGGGCGUGCUAAUCUGCGAUAAGCGCCGGUAAGGUGAUAUGAACCGUUAUAACCGGCGAUACCCGAAUGGGGAAACCCAGUGUGACUCGUCACACUAUCAUUAACUGAAUCCAUAGGUUAAUGAGGCGAACCGGGGGAACUGAAACAUCUAAGUACCCCGAGGAAAAGAAAUCAACCGAGAUUCCCCCAGUAGCGGCGAGCGAACGGGGAGGAGCCCAGAGCCUGAAUCAGCAUGUGUGUUAGUGGAAGCGUCUGGAAAGGCGCGCGAUACAGGGUGACAGCCCCGUACACAAAAGCGCAUGUGCUGUGAGCUCGAUGAGUAGGGCGGGACACGUGGUAUCCUGUCUGAAUAUGGGGGGACCAUCCUCCAAGGCUAAAUACUCCUGACUGACCGAUAGUGAACCAGUACCGUGAGGGAAAGGCGAAAAGAACCCCGGCGAGGGGAGUGAAAAAGAACCUGAAACCGUGUACGUACAAGCAGUGGGAGCACCCUUCGGGGUGUGACUGCGUACCUUUUGUAUAAUGGGUCAGCGACUUAUAUUCUGUAGCAAGGUUAACCGUAUAGGGGAGCCGUAGGGAAACCGAGUCUUAAC
Molecule: ribosomal RNA, 654 nt
Filed under: Salmonella enterica
Lineage: Bacteria; Pseudomonadati; Pseudomonadota; Gammaproteobacteria; Enterobacterales; Enterobacteriaceae
Also listed under: 1 other name
Description: partial 23S ribosomal RNA
Rfam family: Bacterial large subunit ribosomal RNA
Source: RNAcentral